UACGUAGGGGGCAAGCGUUGCUCGGAAUUACUGGGCGUAAAGGGAGUGCAGGCGGCCGAUUAAGUCAAAGAUGAAAUCCCGAGGCUUAACUUCGGAAUGGUCUUUGAUACUGAUCGGCUUGAGGCUGGUUGAGGAGAGCGGAAUUCCCGGUGGAGCGGUGAAAUGCGUAGAUAUCGGGAGGAACACCAGAGGCGAAGGCGGUUCUCUAAACUAGUCCUGACGCUGAGACUCGAAAGCUAGGGGAGCAAACGGG
RNAcentral lists this ribosomal RNA (253 nucleotides) under uncultured bacterium. Its description in RNAcentral is "partial 16S ribosomal RNA". It matches the Rfam family "Bacterial small subunit ribosomal RNA", at positions 524 to 776 of the family's 1533-position model. The record is from RNAcentral.